CACGCGGGAAAAGGAGUGCCUCGGCCUAGGCCUAGCGCCCGCGCUGACACCCCUCCGCGCGGCCCGGGCCGCGAGUUAUUUCUCUAUUGGCAGCACGAAAAGAUGCCGGAGCCGAAACGGCGGGCUGCUUGGCAGGCGCUUUCUCUAAGGAGGCCGCCCGCGGGAGGGAGAAAGGGAGGGAGGGAAGGAGGGGGCCGGCACGGCUGCGCGGAGGGAUCUGACGCACACGGAGCCGCAGCACAGGCUCUAUUCAGUGGCGCUGGCUGGGCUGAGAUGGAAGUUAGUUUCUAUGUAGCAGAAAUAGGAAACAAAUGAAGCAAAACUGCCCAAAGAGGGGAAAUGCCGGGAGGAUGGGGCUCACUCUCACGCACGCACAGAGACACUCUGGGAGCACUCUCACGCUGGGCCAAGUCGGGAUCGCGCCGCCCUGCCCGACUUGAACGCUAGUGUUUGCUUUCUGUCUUGCCAUGUGCAUGUGUAUAAAUGCUGCGGAUUGGCAUCUGUAAGUGCCAUGAAGAAAAAUAAAGCUCUCCAUGAAUUUUAACUAUGAAGGUGAACAAAAAAAAACGAACAAAAAAAAACUCAUAAAACAAAUGAACAAACAACACUGAAAGAAGAAAGAAGUCUUGGAAAACUGAAACUAAUUUUUAUAUGAUAGUUAUAAACUUCUUUAAAGUUCCUAUGGCAUCCCAUCCUGAACCCUUGGCAUCACAUGAACAAAGCUAGACACUGAACAAAAACUCUGUGUUGCUCUUGAGAAGCAAUAAUUCGUUUUUUUAAAAAAAAUCUGCCUUUUAAGUCUUCUCUAGACUAAGAUUAAUACUAAUUACAGUUCUGUUACGUUUCUGUAGUAUGUUGAAUAACACAUAACUAAAACUCAUGGAUUCGGUGUGUUACCUUAUAUGUUAAGUCAUGUUUCUGUACUAGUGUUAUGUUACCUUUAUGGGUUUUGGUGGGACUAUUACAUUGUUUUGUUAUUUUGUAAUGCUGGGCGCUGAACCCAGGUUCUUGCUCGUGUUGCAUAGGCAGUCUACCAUUGAGCUAUAUAUUCUCCGGUCAUAUGCCGCUUUCAUAGCAAAAGGCUUCACCCAAUGAAAUAAAAAAGUAGAAAGCAUCCUUCUCCAAAGAAUACCUUUUUAAAAACAUUUGCUCUGAAGAACAAAAUUUACAUCAUGCUAUUAGAAGGGCAUUGUCUGAUAAGCCCCACUCCUGUGGUUUGCUCUCCACCACUGUGUGUUUCUGCCAUGGCUGUCUUUCCCUUCUCACUUACACCCCUCUGUCUCCACAAAGUGUUAAUGUCAAAUCUGAAGUUCAUGAACAGCUACAGUACAGUAUUUUGGUGCCUUUAGAAAGAACAGGGUUAAUUUACUUUAAUAAACACCCAUCAUUU
Non-coding RNA from Myodes glareolus (Bank vole), 1390 nucleotides. The record is from RefSeq and is a predicted model, not a curated record. Lineage: Eukaryota; Metazoa; Chordata; Mammalia; Rodentia; Cricetidae.